AAAUUGAAGGGUUUGAUCAUGGCUCAGAUUGAACGCUGGCGGCAGGCCUAACACAUGCAAGUCGAACGGUAACAGGAAGAAGCUUGCUUCUUUGCUGACGAGUGGCGGACGGGUGAGUAAUGUCUGGGAAACUGCCUGAUGGAGGGGGAUAACUACUGGAAACGGUAGCUAAUACCGCAUAACGUCGCAAGACCAAAGAGGGGGACCUUCGGGCCUCUUGCCAUCGGAUGUGCCCAGAUGGGAUUAGCUUGUUGGUGGGGUAACGGCUCACCAAGGCGACGAUCCCUAGCUGGUCUGAGAGGAUGACCAGCCACACUGGAACUGAGACACGGUCCAGACUCCUACGGGAGGCAGCAGUGGGGAAUAUUGCACAAUGGGCGCAAGCCUGAUGCAGCCAUGCCGCGUGUAUGAAGAAGGCCUUCGGGUUGUAAAGUACUUUCAGCGGGGAGGAAGGGAGUAAAGUUAAUACCUUUGCUCAUUGACGUUACCCGCAGAAGAAGCACCGGCUAACUCCGUGCCAGCAGCCGCGGUAAUACGGAGGGUGCAAGCGUUAAUCGGAAUUACUGGGCGUAAAGCGCACGCAGGCGGUUUGUUAAGUCAGAUGUGAAAUCCCCGGGCUCAACCUGGGAACUGCAUCUGAUACUGGCAAGCUUGAGUCUCGUAGAGGGGGGUAGAAUUCCAGGUGUAGCGGUGAAAUGCGUAGAGAUCUGGAGGAAUACCGGUGGCGAAGGCGGCCCCCUGGACGAAGACUGACGCUCAGGUGCGAAAGCGUGGGGAGCAAACAGGAUUAGAUACCCUGGUAGUCCACGCCGUAAACGAUGUCGACUUGGAGGUUGUGCCCUUGAGGCGUGGCUUCCGGAGCUAACGCGUUAAGUCGACCGCCUGGGGAGUACGGCCGCAAGGUUAAAACUCAAAUGAAUUGACGGGGGCCCGCACAAGCGGUGGAGCAUGUGGUUUAAUUCGAUGCAACGCGAAGAACCUUACCUGGUCUUGACAUCCACAGAACUUUCCAGAGAUGGAUUGGUGCCUUCGGGAACUGUGAGACAGGUGCUGCAUGGCUGUCGUCAGCUCGUGUUGUGAAAUGUUGGGUUAAGUCCCGCAACGAGCGCAACCCUUAUCCUUUGUUGCCAGCGGUCCGGCCGGGAACUCAAAGGAGACUGCCAGUGAUAAACUGGAGGAAGGUGGGGAUGACGUCAAGUCAUCAUGGCCCUUACGACCAGGGCUACACACGUGCUACAAUGGCGCAUACAAAGAGAAGCGACCUCGCGAGAGCAAGCGGACCUCAUAAAGUGCGUCGUAGUCCGGAUUGGAGUCUGCAACUCGACUCCAUGAAGUCGGAAUCGCUAGUAAUCGUGGAUCAGAAUGCCACGGUGAAUACGUUCCCGGGCCUUGUACACACCGCCCGUCACACCAUGGGAGUGGGUUGCAAAAGAAGUAGGUAGCUUAACCUUCGGGAGGGCGCUUACCACUUUGUGAUUCAUGACUGGGGUGAAGUCGUAACAAGGUAACCGUAGGGGAACCUGCGGUUGGAUCACCUCCUUACCUUAAAGAAGC
RNAcentral lists this ribosomal RNA (1554 nucleotides) under Escherichia coli. RNAcentral's name for it is "bacterial SSU rRNA". It matches the Rfam family "Bacterial small subunit ribosomal RNA". The record is from RNAcentral. Lineage: Bacteria; Pseudomonadati; Pseudomonadota; Gammaproteobacteria; Enterobacterales; Enterobacteriaceae.